GAUGAACGCUGGCGGCGUGCCUAAUACAUGCAAGUCGAGCGAACAGAUGAGGAGCUUGCUCCUCUGACGUUAGCGGCGGACGGGUGAGUAACACGUGGAUAACCUACCUAUAAGACUGGGAUAACUUCGGGAAACCGGAGCUAAUACCGGAUAAUAUAUUGAACCGCAUGGUUCAAUAGUGAAAGACGGUUUUGCUGUCACUUAUAGAUGGAUCCGCGCCGCAUUAGCUAGUUGGUAAGGUAACGGCUUACCAAGGCGACGAUGCGUAGCCGACCUGAGAGGGUGAUCGGCCACACUGGAACUGAGACACGGUCCAGAGGCCUACGGGAGGCAGCAGUAGGGAAUCUUCCGCAAUGGGCGAAAGCCUGACGGAGCAACGCCGCGUGAGUGAUGAAGGUCUUCGGAUCGUAAAACUCUGUUAUUAGGGAAGAACAAAUGUGUAAGUAACUAUGCACGUCUUGACGGUACCUAAUCAGAAAGCCACGGCUAACUACGUG
RNAcentral lists this ribosomal RNA (497 nucleotides) under uncultured bacterium. RNAcentral describes it as "partial 16S ribosomal RNA". It matches the Rfam family "Bacterial small subunit ribosomal RNA", at positions 28 to 507 of the family's 1533-position model. The record is from RNAcentral.